Molecule: long non-coding RNA, 259 nt
Filed under: Mytilus galloprovincialis (Mediterranean mussel)
Lineage: Eukaryota; Metazoa; Mollusca; Bivalvia; Mytilida; Mytilidae
Source: RNAcentral
GUGUGUUUAGUUUCAGCUCAAAUUAACAACUGACCACUCAUAAGUAUUUCUUUCUCAUUCCCACGAUCGCACCUUUAACCUUUCAACUCUAACAUAUGUUUUCUUUCAAUUAUCACUCCUAUCUAGACUACAUCUUACCAACUUUACCCUAAAGUGCAAUCGCCACAUUUGUUGUCGGAUAUUUAUCAAAUGCAUUACAAGUAUGUUUCCGAAAGCAAAAUGUAAUUUGUGUAUUGUAUUUUCGAUGCGUGAAAUGAAU